GGAUGUAGCUCAAGUGGUAGCGUGCUCGCUUGGCAUGCAUGCAGCCCGAGUUCGAUCCUCAGCACCA
This 67-nucleotide transfer RNA is filed under the name Marmota monax (woodchuck). RNAcentral describes it as "tRNA.Ala". Lineage: Eukaryota; Metazoa; Chordata; Mammalia; Rodentia; Sciuridae. The record is from RNAcentral.